This 373-nucleotide long non-coding RNA is filed under the name Capra hircus (goat). RNAcentral describes it as "lncRNA (ENSCHIG00000007394.1)". The record is from RNAcentral. Lineage: Eukaryota; Metazoa; Chordata; Mammalia; Artiodactyla; Bovidae.
CAACCACUUUCACAAAAACUCCAUAGCUGCUCCCAGGGUGUGGUGAAUGGAGUAAUGGCAGAAAUGGCUCAGAGUUGAUGGGAAGCUUUUGCCCUGGGGGCUCAGCGGACUGAAAAGUAUCUGCCAUCCAAAUGGAGAUGCACAGAGGAGGGGGAUGAGAUCAGCCUGUGCAUUCUUCAGAGGACAGCCGCUACUUGUAUCCACAGAGUUCACUGAAAAGUAAGAGGUUGGCAUGGGAGGCAAGGAAAGGAACAUGGGCUUCCCCUAAAAAUAAAUGAAGUGACUUGAUGUUCUGGUUACUAUUGCUGGGCAACAAUUCUCUCCAUGACUUUGUGUCAUAAAUGACUUGAUUGUGCUCUUGGAGUCCACCUGU